This 269-nucleotide ribosomal RNA is filed under the name uncultured prokaryote. Its description in RNAcentral is "partial 16S ribosomal RNA". It matches the Rfam family "Bacterial small subunit ribosomal RNA", at positions 524 to 792 of the family's 1533-position model. The record is from RNAcentral.
UACAUAGGGGGCGAGCGUUAUCCGGAAUUAUUGGGCGUAAAGGGUACGUAGGCGGGCCUGCAAGUCUGAUGUGAAAGCCCACGGCUCAACCGUGGAACGGCAUUGGAAACUGGCAAACUUGAGUGCAGAAGAGGAAAGUGGAAUUCCAUGUGUAGCGGUGAAAUGCGUAGAUAUAUGGAGGAACACCAGUGGCGAAGGCGACUUUCUGGUCUGUAACUGACGCUGAGGCUCGAAAGCGUGGGGAGCGAACAGGAUUAGAUAUCCGGGUA